UGGAUAAGUCAAAUUUAAGGAAUAAAAAUUGAAAUAUGAAAAGAGACAUUCUCACUGUUGGCACUCAAAAUACUUUCCUCAUCUCUUCUUCUUGUAGCUGUCCCCACUUGCAAGUUGUGGAGAUUACGUUCCCACCUUGGCCCUCCCAAUGUUAACAUCGUGGCUCUGCCGCUACUCUUUUCUCUUGACUCACGCAAGGCACCAGUCUGCCUAAAGUCUCUAUGGUAUGGGGUCUAUAAUAAUAUUGCUUUAGUUAACCUCUACACAACCAACUCAACUGCAUUUUUGUUGUAGACGUAGUCUUCCAUUUGUGGCCAGAAGCACUAUGAAAUUGGCAUCUAUGAGCUAAGACUCUCGUGUACUAGCGAGGUCUCAUGGGAGGUAGGGGCUCUAAGAUUCUUUGAUUUUCAAUAUGGCUAAGGAUAUAAGCAUAUGAAGCAGCAAGAGUCUAAGUCUCAAAUCUGUUGUAAGGUGCUCUCUCCACUUGUCCUUUAUGUUGUUGGCGUUGACUAUUAUCUCUACCAGUCAUUUGAUGCAGGGGGAAUUGUUAGAAGCGGAGAAACGUUACCCCCCCCACCCCCCCCCCCCCCCAAAGUUUAUGUUAGAGUGAAGGUUUCUCCUUUGAUGUUCAUGUAGAGAGGGCAACCCUUGCGCGGGCUAUUAAAUCUAUAGGGGGAGGAGGGUUGGAAAAAGCUCUAGAUGGCUAUACAUUUACCCCUUGAAGCCUUUUUUUUUCUACAUAAUGGUGGACCUUUUUGUAAAGGGUGAAAAGUCUGUCUGGUUGAUCAUUUAUCAAUGUAUACUUGAGGUGUUCAUGAUCUACACCUACAAUGAACGCCUAAAUGGCCCAUUCAUCUGCUAGACCUUUAACCCUCAUUGUUGUUGCGCUAAAUCUACGAAUAAAUCCCUUAGAUGUUUACCAUCUUUGUGCUUGAUGAAAAGUAGAUAUGUUGGGCCUUGUUUUAAUGUCUUGUUUGUGAAUAAUCUGGCCAUAAACAGGUUCUCCAACUCAUGAACGGUAUGAAUUGGUCCCUUCGGUAAGGACAAAUACCAUGCCCUUAUGUAAUCCCUUAAAAGUCAUAGAAAAGGCUCGGCAUUUUAAGGUCAGCUGUUGGGCCUCUCUGUCGGUGAGAAAAUGAUUGAAUGGUUUCUUCCUAUUAACCCUCUUACUAAGGGGCUCGGGUUGGAGGUUUUGGUUGGUUUGUAAAUCUUAAAUUUUUUUUGUUAAUAGUAUCAAUCUCCUGUUGUUAUCAGUAAAGCCAUUAAAGUAAGGUGGGUUGUUUUUCUAAAACCUUCAUUCUUUUUCUUGCAUUUCACAACUUGUGUUGGGAUUUUGCAAGGUUUGUUUUCUUAGGGUAGAGUAAGGGUAGUUUUGAUGAGGUGGUGGAUAGUUAGUAUCUCGGUGGUGGGUGUUGGGCAUAGCGCGCGUAGUAUGGGUAGCUGGGUCAUAAGGAUUAUAUGAACAUAAUAAGUAUGGUCUUGUGAUUGCCGAGGGAAAGCAUGUUGAGAAAAAAAAGGUUUUUUUACUAAAUUGACUCAAAAAAAUUUUAUAUUUAUAAAAAUGAUUUAGGUUCAAAAACAAUCACCAAAAUUACCUGAAAUAAAUAGUAGAAUAGGGUUUUAGCUUGUCAAUGACCGGCACCAAUUCGUAUUUUGGACCUCUGAUUGUCUGAUAAUUGUGUCAGGCUUUAAAAAUUGUUUUUUUUGGGCUGUCAAUGGCCGACAUCAGGGUAUUUUUUUGGCUAUUUUACUAAAUUGACCCAAAAAAUUUUGAUAUUUACAAAAAUUAUCCAGGUUCAAAAACAAUCACCAGAAUGACCUGAAAUGAACAGUAGAAUGGGGUUUUGGCCUGUAAGUGGCCAGCACCAACUCGUAUUUUGGACCCAUGAUUGCCUGAUAACUGUGUCAGGCUUUAAAAAAUUGAUUUUUUUGGUUCUGGCCUGGCAAUGGCCAGCACCAAGAUAUUUUUUUGUUAAAAUCAUAUCAUACUGGUAUACAAAAAUACCAGUAUUUAAAAAAAAUUGGUUCUGCCCUGUCAAUGGCUGGCACCAGAAUACGUGUUUUUAAAAAAAAAAAUUGGUACUGGCCUAUCAAUGGCCGGCACCAAAGUACAAGUUUUAAAAAAAUUGGUUCUGGCCUAUCAAUUGCUGGAACCAGAGUACGAGUUUUUUAAAAAAAAUUUGUGCUGGCCUAUCAAUGGCCGGCACCAAGUAAAAAAAAAUCAAUUUUUUUGGUGCCGGCAUGCAAUAGAGUACCAGUAUUUUAAAAAAAAAUUAGAGCUGGCUUAUCAAUUGUCAGCACCAGACUGUGCUUAGUUGAUUCUCAGGUCAUUCUUAGGCCUAUGCUUAGGUGAUGCAGGCAAGCCUGCAGAUUAAUCUUGUCAAAAUUUUCUUUUUUCAUUUUUUUCAUUUUUUUCAUUUUCAUUUCAUUUUAAUUUUAUUUCAUUCCAAUUUCAUUUCAUUUUAAUUUCAUUUCCAUUCCUAUUUCCAUUUCAUUUCAUUUAAAUUAUACUUUUUUCAAUUAAAUUUAUUUUUUUCUCAAUUCAUUUAUAUUAUUUUUAAUUUUAAUUUUAAUUUUUUUCCUCAUUUCAUUUAAAUUUUCUAUUUUUCAAUGCAAAUUUAUUUUUUUUUAAAUACUGAUGCCGGCCAUUGACAGACUAGCACCAAAAAAAAAAUUUUAAACUCAUACUCUUUUGCCGGCCAUUGACAGGCCAAUACCAAAAAAUUUGAUUUUUUUUUUGCACUUGGUGCCGGCCAUUGACAGGCCAACACCAAAAAAAUUUGAUUUUUUUUCGUACUUGGUGCCGGCCAUUAACAGGCGAGAACCAAAUUUUUUUUUAAACUACUGGUAUUUCUGUAUAGCAGUAUGAUACGAUUUUAAAAAAAAUACCCUGAUACCGGCCAUUGACAGGCCAAAACCGAAAAAAAUAAUUUUUUAAAGCCGACACAAUUAUUAGACAAUCAUGGAUCCAAAAUACGAGUUAGUGCCGGCCAUUGACACGCCAAAACCCACAUUCUACUGUUUAUUUCAGGUCAUUUUGGUAAUUGUUUUUGAACUUGUGUCAUUUUUGUAAAUAUAAAAAAAAUGGUCAAUUUAGUAAAAAAAACUUUUUUUAAAUCGUAUCAUACUGGUAUAAAAAAAUAUUAAUAUUUUAAAAAAAUUGUGCUGGCCUGUUAAUGGUCAGUACCAAGUACAAAAAAAAUCAACUUUUUUUGUGCUAGCCUGUCAAUUACCGACACCAAAGUACCAAUAUUUAAAUUUUUUUUAGAGCUGGCUUGUCAAUGGCCAGCAUCAGACUGUGUGACAGCCCUAAAGUGACCCUAGUCGGAAAGCGGUUUCAGAACCGCUAAACCGAGUCACCAAAUUAUUUGAAUAUAAUGAUUAUUGUCUAAAAUAUGUGAAUAUGAAUGUGUGAAAGUUUUAAGCUUCGAUUUAGUCAAUUGCAAGUGAAUUUAGCUAAUAGGACUUAUGUGUGACACUUUUGAAAUGUGAUAGGUCGAUCUAUAAGGAUCUAUUAGUGCAUGAAAUCAAAAGGGUGGACUUGCAUGUCAAUUUCCCCCUUAAGAAGUAGUGGCCGGCCAUGACAUUAAGGAUAGACAAAAUGUUAUGGGCAAAACAUGUCAUAAACAUGUUAUGUUAGUGAUUUAUGUUAGGAAAAAUAAAAUAAUGAGUAUGGGCAAUAAAAUAAUAAUGGGAAGGUAAAUGAUGACAAAAGAAAAAUGUGUGUGGUUGCCCCCCCAUUGCUGUGAAUUGAAAAAAAAAAGAAGUUCUCAUGUUGUUCUUGGCCAAAUGGGAGAAAGAGAAGAAGGGGGAAGAGCUUUGAGAAAAUCGGCUUGGUGGGUUGCUAGACUAAGGUAUGUUUGAUGUUGUCCAUGAGAUUCAUGCAUGUUUUUAGUUGUUAGUUUGAGUUCUACCUAGCCCAUGGUUUAAAUCUUUGCUAUGAGAUGGAGAUGAUAUUCGGCCAUGGGUGUUGUCUUCUUGGUUGAUGUUUGAUGUUGUGGUGAUGAGGCAUGAAGAUGAGUCAAGUUUCGGCUAAGGUGGAUUUGUGUUGAUGUCAUUUGCAUGCUAAUUGUGAAGCUUUGUAAUGAUACAUGUGAUGGUGAUUGAUGACUCUUGGAUUUUCUUUUUGGCAUUUUUGAGUUAGACAUUAAGUUCUUUGUGUAACCCAUGACCAAAAUUGAAUGGUAUGGUGUCUUGAUGCAUUCGGCCAUGGUAGAAAGUAGAUGUGAAAUGGCAGUAAGGUGAAGUGCAAAAUGUUAGUAUUUGAUUACUAGUGUAUAUAUGCGUAUUAGCCGAGUUUUGAACUUGAAACAAAAUGAUAUGUAGUCAAUACAAGUAACCAUACUUGUAGGAAGUAUUAAGCAUAUAAUCGGCCUCAACAUAGACAUGCAUAUUCGGCCACAUGAAGAAGAUUGGUGUUGCAUGUAUUCGGUUAGAGGCAAGCAUAUUGAUGCUUUUAUCUUGGCUUAGAUAAUCGGCUCAAGGAGAAUUUGUUAAGUGCUUAGUUAAUUGAUAUUAGGUCAAUGAUGUGUGUAUUCGGUCAUAAAAGUGCACAAGAGGAAAUGUUAGAUUAAUUGUAUUAAAUUGCUCAAUGUGAUUAAAAAUGCGUAUGACCAUUUUGUAUUUGAGCUAAAGGUGGCCAUAUGACCUAUCAAACUCCUUGUCAUAUUCGGCCAUAAGCUAGCAUAAUGAGACUUUAAUAAGUUAAAUUUGUUUGAAUUAGCUCAAGAGCUUAGAGGACCACAGUUGGAUAAGGGAAGGGAAAAAGUGAUCGAAUAGCCGCCGAAAUCGUUUGACCACAUCCGAGGUAAGUUUUAAGUGAUUAAACGUUGAGUAAAUUCAAUCAUAAUAGGACAUAAUGAGUUGAUUUAAUAAGAUAUGAUGUGGCCAUGAUAUGUCUUAAACUCAAAUGAUAAGUUCAUAAGUGUUUGGACUUGGAAAUUUAAGAGCAAAUUGUAAUAAUUUGCUUGGACAGCAGCAGUAAUGUGAUUUUAGAAAAUCACUAUAAAUUGUUGGUGUGGAGAUUAUGUCCGGGUAAGACCCAAUGACUACGUGUGGAGAUUAUGUCCGGGUAAGACCCGAUGACUACGUGUGGAGAGUAUGUCCGGGCCCGAUGACUACGUGUGGAGAUUUUGUCCGGGUAAGACCCGAUAACUUCGUGUGGAGAUUUCGUCUGAGCUAAAGGUCUCGCCGAUAAUCCGAGUAGAGGUGAAAGCUAUAAGACUUCGUAAUAAGAAUUGCUUAUAAAUAUAUUCAAUGCGAAAGGUUAAACAGGUAUGUACUCCAAGUUUAUAUGUGAGCUUGAUUUGAACUAAAUCAUAAGGUAGUUAUGUGAUGCAUACGAGAGCAAUCUAUAGGACUAUUCCUAUGAUUAUGUGACAUCGGAUUAGUGUGAGAGGUUAUUUGAAAUCAUACGAUAUAUCUAUGCCACAUGAGCUCACUUUUAUGUGAGAGUUUAUCUGCCUAUUGUAUAUGAUGAGAUGUGCAUAUUCGGUAAAGGGAUGGCAUGCCCGAAGGAAGAGUGAAAUAAAAAUACGAACAACUAUGUUAUAAUUUGAUUGUUAUCUGUUGACACUGCUUAAAAUUUACUAAGCAUUGUAAUGCUUACUCCGUUUACUCUGUUUUCUCUGUUUUAUAGAUCUCAUUGCGAAGCUACAGGCUUGGGGAUCGUCAGCAACUAGUCACACUAUCACUAUCCACCGCUUGUUACUGUUAUGUUUAGAAUUAUUUUAUGGCAUGUAUAGAAUAGACUAGUGGCGGAAGAAUAUUUUUGGUUAAUGUAUAUAAGCCAUGCGAAA
This 5798-nucleotide long non-coding RNA is filed under the name Gossypium barbadense (sea-island cotton). RNAcentral describes it as "long non-coding RNA (GBAR_LNC011229)". The record is from RNAcentral. Lineage: Eukaryota; Viridiplantae; Streptophyta; Magnoliopsida; Malvales; Malvaceae.